UAUGAAUAAUACGUGGCGAACGGCUCAGUAACACGUAGUCAACAUGCCCAAAGGACGUGGAUAACCUCGGGAAACUGAGGAUAAGCCGCGAUAGGUCAUAAGUACUGGAAUGUUUUAUGGCUCAAAUCUACAUGGCCUCUGGAUUGGACUGCGGCCGAUCAGGCUGUUGGUGAGGUAAUGGCCCACCAAACCUGUUACCGGUACGGGCUCUGAGAGGAGGAGCCCGGAGAUGGGCACUGAGACAAGGGCCCAGGCCCUAUGGGGCGCAGCAGGCGCGAAACCUCUGCAAUAGGCGAAAGCUUGACAGGGUUACUCUGAGUGAUUCCCGCUAAGGGAAUCUUUUGGCAUCUCUAAAAACGAUGCAGAAUAAGGGGUGGGCAAGUCUGGUGUCAGCCGCCGCGGUAAUACCAGCACCCCGAGUGGUCGGGACGAUUAUUGGGCCUAAAGCAUCCGUAGCCGGUCUUGCAAGUCUUCCGUUAAAUCCACCUGCUUAACAGAUGGGCUGCGGAAGAUACUACAAGACUAGGAGGCGGGAGAGGCAAGCGGUACUCAGUGGGUAGGGGUAAAAUCCUCUGAUCCAUUGAAGACCACCAGUGGCGAAGGCGGCUUGCCAGAACGCGCUCGACGGUGAGGGAUGAAAGCUGGGGGAGCAAACCGGAUUAGAUACCCGGGUAGUCCCAGCUGUAA
This 687-nucleotide ribosomal RNA is filed under the name uncultured Nitrososphaerota archaeon. Its description in RNAcentral is "bacterial SSU rRNA". It matches the Rfam family "Archaeal small subunit ribosomal RNA", at positions 65 to 756 of the family's 1478-position model. The record is from RNAcentral. Lineage: Archaea; Thermoproteati; Nitrososphaerota.